RNAcentral lists this ribosomal RNA (497 nucleotides) under uncultured bacterium. RNAcentral describes it as "partial 16S ribosomal RNA". It matches the Rfam family "Bacterial small subunit ribosomal RNA", at positions 28 to 507 of the family's 1533-position model. The record is from RNAcentral.
GAUGAACGCUGGCGGCGUGCCUAAUACAUGCAAGUCGAGCGAACAGACGAGGAGCUUGCUCCUCUGACGUUAGCGGCGGACGGGUGAGUAACACGUGGAUAACCUACCUAUAAGACUGGGAUAACUUCGGGAAACCGGAGCUAAUACCGGAUAAUAUAUUGAACCGCAUGGUUCAAUAGUGAAAGACGGUUUUGCUGUCACUUAUAGAUGUAUCCGCGCCGCAUUAACUAGUUGGUAAGGUAACGGCUUACCAAGGCAACGAUGCGUAGCCGACCUGAGAGGGUGAUCGGCCACACUGGAACUGAGACACGGUCCAGACUCCUACGGGAGGCAGCAGUAGGGAAUCUUCCGCAAUGGGCGAAAGCCUGACGGAGCAACGCCGCGUGAGUGAUGAAGGUCUUCGGAUCGUAAAACUCUGUUAUUAGGGAAGAACAAAUGUGUAAGUAACUAUGCACGUCUUGACGGUACCUAAUCAGAAAGCCACGGCUAACUACGUG